This 253-nucleotide ribosomal RNA is filed under the name uncultured bacterium. RNAcentral describes it as "partial 16S ribosomal RNA". It matches the Rfam family "Bacterial small subunit ribosomal RNA", at positions 524 to 776 of the family's 1533-position model. The record is from RNAcentral.
UACGUAGGGGGCAAGCGUUAUCCGGAUUUACUGGGUGUAAAGGGGGCGCAGACGGCGAUGCAAGCCAGGAGUGAAAGCCCGGGGCCCAACCCCGGGACUGCUCUUGGAACUGCGUGGCUGGAGUGCAGGAGGGGCAGGCGGAAUUCCUGGUGUAGCGGUGAAAUGCGUAGAUAUCAGGAGGAACACCGGUGGCGAAGGCGGCCUGCUGGACUGUAACUGACGUUGAGGCCCGAAAGCGUGGGGAGCAAACAGG